CCUUGCCAGCCCGCUCAAGAACUCGAAAGGAAUUGACGGGGCCCGCACAAGCGGUGGAGUAUGUGGUUUAAUUCGAUGCAACGCGAAGAACCUUACCUGGUCUUGACAUCCCGGAGACCCUUAGGAAACUAGGGGGUGCUUCCAUCUGGAAGAAUCUGGAGACAGGUGCUGCAUGGCUGUCGUCAGCUCGUGUCGUGAGAUGUUGGGUUAAGUCCCGCAACGAGCGCAACCCUUGCCUUUAGUUGCCAGCAGUUCGGCUGGGCACUCUAAAGGGACUGCCGGUGUUAAACCGGAGGAAGGUGGGGAUGACGUCAAGUCCUCAUGGCCUUUAUGACCAGGGCUACACACGUACUACAAUGGCCGAUACAAAGGGCAGCGACACUGCGAGGUGAAGCCAAUCCCGUAAAAUCGGUCUCAGUCCGGAUUGGAGUCUGCAACUCGACUCCAUGAAGUUGGAAUCGCUAGUAAUCGUGGAUCAGCAUGCCACGGUGAAUACGUUCCCGGGCCUU
RNAcentral lists this ribosomal RNA (509 nucleotides) under uncultured Desulfobulbus sp. RNAcentral describes it as "bacterial SSU rRNA". It matches the Rfam family "Bacterial small subunit ribosomal RNA", at positions 903 to 1382 of the family's 1533-position model. The record is from RNAcentral. Lineage: Bacteria; Pseudomonadati; Thermodesulfobacteriota; Desulfobulbia; Desulfobulbales; Desulfobulbaceae.